RNAcentral lists this ribosomal RNA (253 nucleotides) under uncultured bacterium. RNAcentral describes it as "partial 16S ribosomal RNA". It matches the Rfam family "Bacterial small subunit ribosomal RNA", at positions 524 to 776 of the family's 1533-position model. The record is from RNAcentral.
UACGAAGGGGGCUAGCGUUGCUCGGAAUCACUGGGCGUAAAGCGCACGUAGGCGGAUCUUUAAGUCAGGGGUGAAAUCCCAAGGCUCAACCUUGGAACUGCCUUUGAUACUGGGGAUCUCGAGUGCGGAAGAGGUGAGUGGAACUGCGAGUGUAGAGGUGAAAUUCGUAGAUAUUCGCAAGAACACCAGUGGCGAAGGCGGCUCACUGGUCCGGUACUGACGCUGAGGUGCGAAAGCGUGGGGAGCAAACAGG